Molecule: long non-coding RNA, 1227 nt
Organism: Homo sapiens (human)
Lineage: Eukaryota; Metazoa; Chordata; Mammalia; Primates; Hominidae
Product: long intergenic non-protein coding RNA 2208
Source: Ensembl
ACAUAUGCCUUGAGUUGCUCUUCAGUGAAUAUCACUUUUCCUUUCAUGUUUUUUCUACAUGCUAUUAUCUGUAUGAAAUGAAGACCAAGAAAGGAUGGGAAGAAGGAGAAGAAAAAUUUUGAUUUAUCUCAGAAACUAUACUCCGAAGUGAGAGUCCUGGUUGCAGCAUCCUUCACCGAAGCACGAAGCAGAAUCAAGCUGUUGCCAUGAAGCUUGUUUCAAGAGCUCAGAAAUACUCCAGGGACUCCUUUACUACUGCUUUUCAAAGAGGCCUUUUUUUCUCUCUUCUCCUUUUCCUGCAAAGAGGGUUAUAUCCAGUGCUCAAGGACAUGGGAUUAUCAGCCUAAGGCAUGAGUACAUGCUGUGGAAACAGAAAUAUGUAUGAAGGGAUGUAUGAAACCACAGAAUAAAUGGAAUCCACAUUCUUGAAGUAGCUACAACUCUACUUGAGGUCCCAAGGCACGUAGAUAGUACCUAUACAUCUCAUCAGGAACAUGGAUGGUUCUCUGCUAUCAGCUGAAGUGCUGUGACCACAAAACUGAAAAUUCCCAUUCUGUGUCCUUGCCAAUAAAGAAUGUCCAUCAGAGCACGCCCAGUAUCCUAGCUCCUUAUCCAGACUGUGCUUCUCAAUGUGACAAGGAAGACUGCAACCCUAUUUGCUUCUGAUAACCUUCCUAUGACUAAGGUGUGCUACAACAACAUGACCCCAGCAAGCAAGAUUAUUUCUGUGCACUGAUAGGAAAAGGAAGCAAGCCAUGAGUGCCUGUUGAAGCUGGAAAAGCAAGAUUGAUGUUGAGGCUUGAUUGAAGGAGUGCAAGGUCACUCACAGAAGAAGUCAUGGUGCAAGAGUACAUCUCAAUCCUGCCCUAGCCUGGAAACAGCAUGCUCUGCUGCAUUUGCAUGCCCAAGGCACUGCUUGUCCUAAGCCCCAUCCUAGAAACUCUCUAUAGCUUUAUUUCCCUUAAGAAGGUAGAAAAACAUCAACAACCUAUCCGUACUAGCUGAAUGGCCUCUAGGCCUAUUGGGCAAGUACACCCAGAUGAGCAUCACUCUUAAGUGGCUGCUUCAGGUCAAGGUCUUUUGUGUUGGGGCAGCUGCAAACUGGCCUCUUUGGCUAUCCCAAGACCCUCUAAGUCCAAGGAGCUUUCAACCUCUAGUGAUGUUCAAUCUCUGUAAAGCUGUGUAAUGGGGGAUAAACAUUAAAGUUGUUUCACAUUUAAAAAAAAA